UGAGAGGUUGAUCGGCCACAUUGGGACUGAGACACGGCCCAGACUCCUACGGGAGGCAGCAGUGGGGGAUAUUGCACAAUGGGGGAAACCCUGAUGCAGCGACGCCGCGUGAAGGAAGAAGGCCUUCGGGUUGUAAACUUCUGUCGUACGGGACGAUAAUGACGGUACCGUACAAGAAAGCCACGGCUAACUACGUGCCAGCAGCCGCGGUAAAACGUAGGUGGCAAGCGUUGUCCGGAAUUACUGGGUGUAAAGGGAGCGCAGGCGGACUGGCAAGUUGGAAGUGAAAUCUAUGGGCUCAACCCAUAAAUUGCUUUCAAAACUGCCGGUCUUGAGUAGUGCAGAGGUAGGCGGAAUUCCCGGUGUAGCGGUGGAAUGCGUAGAUAUCGGGAGGAACACCAGUGGCGAAGGCGGCCUACUGGGCACCAACUGACGCUGAGGCUCGAAAGUAUGGGUAGCAAACAGGAUUAGAUACCCUGGUAGUCCAUACCGUAAACGAUGAUUACUAGGUGUUGGAGGAUUGACCC
This 527-nucleotide ribosomal RNA is filed under the name uncultured bacterium. RNAcentral describes it as "bacterial SSU rRNA". It matches the Rfam family "Bacterial small subunit ribosomal RNA", at positions 293 to 838 of the family's 1533-position model. The record is from RNAcentral.